AGUGAACGCUGGCGGUAGGCCUAACACAUGUAAGUCGAACGGCAGCACAGUAAGAGUUUGCUCUUACGGGUGGCGAGUGGCGGACGGGUGAGGAAUACAUCGGAAUCUACUUUUUCGUGGGGGAUAACGUAGGGAAACUUACGCUAAUACCGCAUACGACCUACGGGUGAAAGCAGGGGAUCUUCGGACCUUGCGCGAUUGAAUGAGCCGAUGUCGGAUUAGCUAGUUGGCGGGGUAAAGGCCCACCAAGGCGACGAUCCGUAGCUGGUCUGAGAGGAUGAUCAGCCACACUGGAAGUGAGACACGGUCCAGACUCCUACGGGAGGCAGCAGUGUGGAAUGUUAGACAAUGGUCGCAAGCCUGAUCCAGCCAUACCGCGUGGGUGAAGAAGGCCUUCGGGUUGUAAAGCCCUUUUGUUGGGAAAGAAAAGCAGCAGGUUAAUACCCCGCUGUUCUGACGGUACCCAAAGAAUAAGCACCGGCUAACUUCGUG
This 492-nucleotide ribosomal RNA is filed under the name uncultured bacterium. RNAcentral describes it as "partial 16S ribosomal RNA". It matches the Rfam family "Bacterial small subunit ribosomal RNA", at positions 29 to 507 of the family's 1533-position model. The record is from RNAcentral.